This 339-nucleotide unclassified non-coding RNA is filed under the name soil metagenome. RNAcentral describes it as "partial contains 5.8S ribosomal RNA, internal transcribed spacer 2, and large subunit ribosomal RNA". The stretch from base 1 to 120 matches the Rfam family "5.8S ribosomal RNA", at positions 35 to 154 of the family's 154-position model. The record is from RNAcentral.
GAUGAAGAACGUAGCGAAAUGCGAUAAGUAAUGUGAAUUGCAGAAUUCAGUGAAUCAUCGAAUCUUUGAACGCACAUUGCGCCCCUUGGUAUUCCAUGGGGCAUGCCUGUUCGAGCGUCAUUUGUACCUUCAAGCUCUGCUUGGUGUUGGGUGUUUGUCUCGCCUCUGCGCGCAGACUCGCCUCAAAACAAUUGGCAGCCGGCGUAUUGAUUUCGGAGCGCAGUACAUCUCGCGCUUUGCACUCAUAACGACGACGUCCAUAAAGUACAUUUUUUACACCCUUGACCUCGGAUCAGGUAGGGAUACCCGCUGAACUUAAGCAUAUCAAUAAGCGGAGGA